Molecule: long non-coding RNA, 463 nt
Organism: Carassius auratus (goldfish)
Lineage: Eukaryota; Metazoa; Chordata; Actinopteri; Cypriniformes; Cyprinidae
Exons: 3
Source: RefSeq, a predicted model, not a curated record
AUCAUGGACAAUGAGGCAACUCUGAGUCCGUUGGUAAUAAAAUAUAGCUUAUAAGGUAAGAACAGGAGUGCAGUUUUUCAUCCGCUCCAGCAGGCCGCGUCAUCGAGCUUUAGUUUAGUUACGUUACAGCUUCGGAUGCUUGACAACAACUCUUGAUAACAGUCGAAACAACACGUACUACAGACAAGUAUAACUUAUGCAUAUGGAAGCUCGGUUAAAAACUUCCAUAACCACUUAACAGCACACAUUUCAGACCAUAAACAAACCAAACUGACAAACGCUGUGAUAAAGCGCAGGAAUAGAAGGUGUCACGCGACUCGCCUAAUAUAAAGAAGAGUUACACUCAACAGAAGCACGUGGACACACAUUAAUGAUGGACAUCUGCUUAUGCACAGAAUAAGAGGUGUCUUGUUGGUUGUAAACUCGUCAAUCUGAAGCAGAGCUCUGGGACGUGUGGACAGAC